Molecule: long non-coding RNA, 3478 nt
Filed under: Equus caballus (horse)
Lineage: Eukaryota; Metazoa; Chordata; Mammalia; Perissodactyla; Equidae
Description: lncRNA (ENSECAG00000060306.1)
Source: RNAcentral
UGCCCCCUCCCCGAUGGUACCUCCCGGAGAGCACGGUCCUACCUCUGCGCCCCUCAGUGGUACCGCCCAGGACAGAACUGUUCCAUCUCGCGCGCCCCUUGCUGGUGUGAACGGAAAACAGCUGGUCGGUGCAGAUGCCCAUGGGCCGUUGCAGGCUGGUCCCCAAAGGCUGGGAGGGCAAAGUUACGAUGAAAACCCCACAACUCGCUGCAGUCUUGGACCCGGGAAAAAGUCUUCCUAAGCUGAAAUUUGCCUCCCUGCGUUGGUCACCCUAGCGUUAGAACCCCCCCUGGGCAUUGUGCUGGCUUGUGCUUCCCUGGGCACUAUUAUGGGUGUUAGGAAUACAGCCGUUUGGAAAGAGACAAAAACGCUGGCCCUCGUGGAGCUUGCAUUCUAUUGGGAUCAUACAGCACAAAAACAUGAGUAAACUGAUGUGCUGUGCACCAGCUAACUAACUUACUCAAGGUCGCCGGAGCCAGGAGGGAAAACGCCAGUACUCGUGCCCAGGUCUGUCUGGCUCCAGAGCUCCUGCCCAUAACCCCCAGCUGUGCCUUAUUCCGCAGCAGUGUCAGUGACAGCGGUAGCCACUGACAUCACAAAGGUAGCCAAAGCCGAGCAAAGACCCCAUCUGCACAGUCCCCGAAACAAACAUGGUUCCCCACAACAUGAAGUGGAAAGACGAGAUAUUCAGAGUGCUCUCAGUCUCAGUGAGCCACCCCUCCCUGUGCGUGUCCUGUGGGCUGGAGAAUCCAUCCUGUGGGUCUUGUCCUCCAGGGACCUCUUAGCACUGCAGGAUCUCAUCCAAGGCUGACCUGAGCAACCCCCACCUCUCCCUGCACUGCUUGGCCGGGCAUGCUGGGGCCCCAUGUUCUAGGGACCCUCUGCCCCUGGACCCAGCUGACCCUUCACAACCUGCUUCCUGGCACUCUCCCCUUCGAGUGGCUGCAACAGCCCACAUUCACCCUUGAUUCUGUCAAUAGACCAGUGGAUGAGGAGAAUGAGGUACCAAGGGGUUAGGCUAGCUGCCCAGGGUCUCCCCACUAGUCCAUGGCAAACUUGGAUUCACACACUGCACUUUCUGACUCUAGGUGUCCUGACCUAAAACAACAUUCUCUUCUGCCUCUAGUAGCAGAUGCCCUUUAAAUGGUGCCCCCGUGCCACAUGCCUUACAUACAAUUCUCUAACAUCCUCCUCAUCAUAAAUAAUGGUAAUGGUCAGAAUAGCAAGAGCUGUUCCAUCUUUACACUGACAGAACCUCUGGAGUUUCCCUCAAUCUCUUCAUCACAGGACACACACACACAUGUCAUAUGAGAAAGAUAGGGGAUCUUCUUAACAUAGCAUUCGAGGACUAAUUGAAGACUGAACUAGGAAUUGGUUCUGGCCAGGAUGGGCUAACAGGUCUGGGUCUAUCCUCCCACUUUAAAUUACUGAAAAAUUGGAAGAGAUGGGUUUUGGACAUGGUACAUCAGGCAGUACAGGACACUGAUACCUGAGAGAAAGGGAAAAAUGAGGUGAGCACUACAAUUUCCCCCAGCUUACUGCCUAGAGAGGGUUUCCAGGCAUCAGUGCAGGGUGAGGGAACCCAAACAGAGUCCUACGGUCUCCCAGAGUUGAGGAACAGUUGAGAAUUCGGGGAGGUCAAGACAGGUAGAAUUCCUAGAGCAGAGGACCAGAGAAAAGAGAGCUGCAUGGAGAGGAGAGAGUUGCAGCGAGAGAGAGAGAGAGAAAGGGAGCGUGUGCGAGAGAGACAGAGCAUGCGUUCUGGAGAUCUGCAGAGGGUUCCCCUGGAGUCUCCAACUGAAUUCUGAUCAGUCCACGUGUGUGAGGAAACUACCCAAGGCCAGGGAAGAAACUACCAAAAAGGAGUGGGUGGCACAACGCCAUAGCUCACAGAAGGAUGGAAAUAGUUCACCUUCUCCCCUGCCAGAGGUGAAAAAAAUAAUAUGCAGCGUAUUGGGUAAACUUCUCAGCUGGUUGGGAAAACUCACCCUGGACUGAAGACUGUUCGGGUCCCAUCUAAUAAUGCUCAAAAGCAAGCCUCAAAAGGAUAAGACUGUUACCAAGUAUCUUAAAGGCAUCACAGGAUGAAGCUCCAAAUCACUUAAAGGAAUUAUUGUUAUUACUAUUAUAAAAUCCAGAACCCAACAAGGUAAAAUUCACAAUGUCUGGCAUCCAAUAAAAGAUUACUAGGCAUGCACAGAAUGAGAAAAUGGAACCAAUAGUGAGGAGAAAAAUUAAUCAAUAGAAAGAGACCCAGAAAUAACACAGACGAUAAAGUUAAGUGACAGGGACUUUAAAACAGCUAUUAUAAAUGUAUUCUGUGUGUUGAACAAGACAGAGGAAAGAGUGAGCAUGUUAACAGGAGAUAUGAAGUUAUUUAAAAAGACCCAAAUUGAACUUCGAGAGAUAAAAAUACAUGAUCUGAGAUGAAAAAUACACUGGAUGAGAUUAACAGUAGAUUUAGACAUUUCAGAGGAAAAGAUUAGUGAACUUGAAGACUCAAUGAGAUGUUUAAAAAAAAAAAAAAGCAUCCAAGAUGAAGCGCACAAAGGAAAAAAGAAAGUUUUGUUAGAAAUGAUUGGAGUGGGCCAGCCUGGUGGCAUAGUGGUUAAGUUUGCGUGCUCCGAUUUGGCGGCCCGGGGUUCACUGGUUCAGAUCUCAGGUGUCGACCUACACACUGCUUGUCAAGCCAUGCUGUGGCAGGAGUCCCACAUAUAAAAUGGAGGAAAGUGGGCACAGAUGUUGGCUCAGGGCCAAUCUUCCUCAGCAAAACGGAGGAGAAUUGGUGGCAGAUGUUAGCUCAGGGCCAAUCUUCCUUAAAAAAAUUUAAAAAAGUGAAUGGACUAAUAGUGAGCUGUAGGGCAACUUCAAGUAGCCUAAUAUACAUAUCAUUGGAGUUGCCGAAGGAGGGUGGGCACAAAAAAUGUUUCCAGAAAUAAUAGCAGAAAAUUUGCCAAAUUUCAUGCAAACCAUAAAGCCACAUCCAAGAAGCUCAAUGAAUCCCAAGCAGGAGGAGCAUAAAGAAAACUGCACCGACACAGUGUAAUUAAAAUGUUCAAAAGCUGUAAAAAAGAGAAAAUCUUAAAAGAAGCCAGAGGAUAAAAAGAUUCAUUAUGUAAGGUGGGCCAAAGAUAAAAUAUAACAGCACGUUUCUCUUCGGAAACAAUGGGAAGCAGAAAUCAGUGGAGCAACAUCAUUAAUGCAGUAAAAGAAAAGAAUUGUCAAACUAAAAUUGAAAACUGAGAUAAAGUAAUUUUCAAAAGUGACGACAAAAUAAUGACUUUUUUAGAGAUACUAAAGCUCGAAGAAUUCAUCUGCAAACCUGCACAAUACAAAAAAGGUCUUAAACGUCCUUCAGGGGCUGGCCCGGUGGUGUAGUGGUUGGGUUCACUGCUCCACUUCAGCGGCCCAGGGUUCGCAGGUUUGGACCCCAAGCGCGGACCUAGCACCACUCAUCAAGCCAUGCUGUGGUGGCAUC